GAGUUUGAUCCUGGCUCAGAUUGAACGCUGGCGGCGUGCCUAACACAUGCAAGUCGAGCGGUAGCAGAUGUAGCAAUACAUGCUGACGAGCGGCGGACGGGUGAGUAACGCUUGGGAAUCUGCCUACUAGUGGGGGACAACCCGGGGAAACUCGGGCUAAUACCGCAUAAGCACUACGGKGGAAAGCCGGGGACCGCAAGGCCUGGCGCUAGUAGAUGAGCCCAAGUCGGAUUAGCUAGUUGGUGAGGUAAUGGCUCACCAAGGCUUCGAUCCGUAACUGGUCUGAGAGGACGACCAGUCACGCCGGAACUGAGACACGGUCCGGACUCCUACGGGAGGCAGCAGUGGGGAAUAUUGGACAAUGGGCGAAAGCCUGAUCCAGCGACGCCGCGUGGGUGAACAAGGCCUGCGGGUUGUAAAGCCCUUUCGGUGGGGAAGAAAAGCCUCGUUCUAACACAGCGGGGUCUUGACGUAACCCAUAAAAGAAGCACCGGCUAACUCUGUGCCAGCAGCCGCGGUAAUACA
RNAcentral lists this ribosomal RNA (525 nucleotides) under uncultured bacterium. RNAcentral's name for it is "bacterial SSU rRNA". It matches the Rfam family "Bacterial small subunit ribosomal RNA", at positions 9 to 527 of the family's 1533-position model. The record is from RNAcentral.